Labrus bergylta (ballan wrasse) is the source of this 771-nucleotide non-coding RNA. The record is from RefSeq and is a predicted model, not a curated record. Lineage: Eukaryota; Metazoa; Chordata; Actinopteri; Labriformes; Labridae.
UCAGAGUUCAUCUGCUGAGGUCAAAGUGAAAUGUUUUUACACUGUUCAGAUUGGAGACAGAAAUGCUCCAUCUCCACACAGUGACAGUCUCCAUCAGCAUACAAACUCUUCCUCAACCUGACCUGAUGGUGAAUCCAGCAGUUAUCACAGAGACAGACUCAGUCACACUGAACUGUCAGACUCCAUCAUCAGUGUCUCAGUGUUAUUACCAAACUUUAAGUGGAGGAACUGUGAGGACAUUUUCCUGUCUGCAGACAUUGACAGGAAGUGAGCUGCUGAGGAUGGAUCAUCAGAGUUCACCUGCUGAGGUCAAAGUGAAAUGUUUUUACAUUGUUCAGAGUGGAGACAGAAAUGCUCGAUCUCCAGAAAGUGAAUAUUCCUCUGUCUCUGUUCAAAGUGAGACAAACUCAAACAAGGAGAGUCUCAGCACUUUGACAACCUCAGUUUCUAUUGUAACUUCACCUGCUGAUCAAGGUGAGUAUAGCCUACUACAUAUUUCAGUGUUGCUUUCACUUUUACCAUCAUUUACUAACUAGCACUGUCACAUAAAACUACAGUCCCACAUUUUCCUUAAACAUCAGACUCCUGUUAAAACAUAAUUUUUUCAGACAUUCAAGUCCAACAGACUCCUGAUUUAUCCUUUAAACAAGUCCCACACAGCAGGAGUUUGCCUGGACAAACUUAGUGGUAUGAUGGUCAAAGUCAUACGUUGGUCAAAGACGAUACCAAGAUUUGAUAUUUGGUUGAAACGAGCCAAUUAACUGAUCAACU